RNAcentral lists this microRNA precursor (85 nucleotides) under Callithrix jacchus (white-tufted-ear marmoset). RNAcentral describes it as "microRNA cja-mir-9921 precursor". Lineage: Eukaryota; Metazoa; Chordata; Mammalia; Primates; Cebidae. The record is from miRBase by way of RNAcentral.
UUAAAAUUCACUUCUUCGGUUGUAUAAGCCAUAUUUCAUGUGGCUAGUGAAAUAUGGCCUGUACAACUGAAGAAGUGAAUUUUAA